Molecule: ribosomal RNA, 217 nt
Filed under: uncultured Amphinema
Lineage: Eukaryota; Fungi; Basidiomycota; Agaricomycetes; Atheliales; Atheliaceae
Description: partial 28S ribosomal RNA
Rfam family: Eukaryotic large subunit ribosomal RNA
Source: RNAcentral
UUGACCUCAAAUCAGGUAGGACUACCCGCUGAACUUAAGCAUAUCAAUAAGCGGAGGAAAAGAAACUAACAAGGAUUCCCCUAGUAACUGCGAGUGAAGCGGGAAAAGCUCAAAUUUAAAAUCUGGCGGUCGCUCUGGCCGUCCGAGUUGUAAUCUGGAGAAGUGUUUUCCGCGUCGGACCGUGUACAAGUCUUCUGGAACGGAGCGUCAUAGAGGG